RNAcentral lists this long non-coding RNA (1142 nucleotides) under Olea europaea subsp. europaea. Lineage: Eukaryota; Viridiplantae; Streptophyta; Magnoliopsida; Lamiales; Oleaceae. The record is from RNAcentral.
UCUGGAUUAACUUGUGCUUUUCAAAAAUAUGAUUUAUUCAUUUUUUUCAGUGUUAGCCCGGGCCAAAAGAAACCCCAAUCCAAUCCAAUAUCCUUCAAACUCCCACCUAUUCCUUCCAGUUUCGCCAUUCGAAUCUCUCUCUCAAACUCCUAUAAACAUAGAUGGACCACCAUAGACACAGUCUCACUAGGCGUCGAUUGUCGCCUUCCUCCAAUUAGGCAUCAGCGAUUUUGUUUGGAACAAGCUAGAUUCUAGAAGGUCUCUCAUUUAUCGGCCUCUAACUAUCUCUGAAAUUCUUGUGGUUUCUUUUCAUUUUCAAGCCUUAGAUGGCAUACGCCUUCGAUUCCAGCAGUGAUCCGACAGACGGCAACAUGGGUGCAGAAUAAUAAUGUGAAUUCCUCAAGGCCAUCUCGGUUCUCUUUUCUUUUUAUUUGUUUAAUGUUAUAAUCUUUUCUUUUUAACAUACAUUGAACCUAAAGUUAAGAUAAGCUAGAUGACCUAUGAAUCUUUUCUUGAGUCGUGUGUUUGAUUUAAACGUUGGAAUAAUUUCAUAUGUGGCCUUCACAUUCAAUUGUAAAAUUUUACGGGUUAGAUGUAUAGCUGAUAAAAAUAUUUGUGAUUGGGUCAAAUUUGUUAAGUGAUCAAUUGGGUCUUUUACACCUUACGAGUUCUAAUUAAUAUGAUGUAGUAAUUUUAAGUAUGUAGGCCAAAGAUAAAUCCUAAUUAGAAUUAUAGUCGUAAUGGGACGGCUCAAUUAUUUCAUAUAUAUAAAGGUUAGGUCUCUUCUCCUCUCCAUAUGUUUUAUUGGCUUGCCCCAUUGAUAGCUAAUACUUUGUGAGGAGUAUGGAGGAGAAGAUCUUGGCUGCUAUUACAACUAUUAUUCAUAUUAACAAUGGUUUCCGCAGGUAUGAAUUUGUUUUAUUAAUUUAUUAUAUUGUGAUUCUCGAUUCUUAACAUGAUCAAAAUUAAAUUCAACAAUUGGUGAUGCCUUCAUGUUAAGAUCGAAAUCCUUCAUGAAAUUUUUUUCCUAUCUCACGUUGAAAAACGUCUUCUGUGCAUACAUUAAAAUUAUAUGUGUAAUGUAUAGUUCAUUGUAUAACACGUACGUAGAUUUACUGUUACCAAUGCGUCAUUGAAUUAAU